Molecule: long non-coding RNA, 806 nt
Filed under: Volvox carteri
Lineage: Eukaryota; Viridiplantae; Chlorophyta; Chlorophyceae; Chlamydomonadales; Volvocaceae
Description: long non-coding RNA (VCAR_LNC004160)
Source: RNAcentral
UUUUGCGUUUUUUGUGAUUUUUUAUUUUGCUUUUUUACUNUUUGUCGUUUUUUGUAUGAAAGUCCAAUAAAGGACGCACAUAAGACUCGUGACGCUUGUGACGCAUGUGACGCAUGUGACGCAUGUGACGCACUUUUUGCGUUUUUUGUGAAAUUUUAUUUUGCUUUUUUACUUUUUGUCGUUUUUCUUGUAAACCUAAUAAAAGAAGCUAGCGACACAAGCGACGCUUGUGAUGCAUGUGACGCAUGUGACGCAUGUGACGCACUUUUUGCGUUUUUUGUAAAAAUUUAUUUUGCUUUUUUACUUUUUGUCGUUUUUUUGGUAAACCUAAUAAAAGAAGCGAGUUACACAAGCGACGCUUGUGAUGCAUGUGACGCAUGUGACGCAUGUGACGCACUUUUUGCGUUUUUUGUAAAAAUUUAUUUUGCUUUUUUACUUUUUGUCGUUUUUUAUGAAAGUCCAACAAAGGACGUAUAUGACGCAUGUGCCGCACGUGACGCACUUUUCGGGGUUUUUCAGUUUUUUUCUUUUUCUGCGUUUUCCUUUUGUCUCGAAAGUUUAAUAAUAGACGCUAGUGACGCAAGGGACACAUGUGAUGCACGUGACGCUUGUGACGCAUGUGACGCAUGUGACGCAUGUGACGCACUUUUUGCGUUUUUUGUAAAAAUUUAUUUUGCUUUUUUACUUUUUGUCGUUUUUUUGAAAGUCCAAUAAAGGACGCACAUAAGACUCGUGACGCAUGUGACGCAUGUGACGCAUGUGACGCACUUUUUGUGUUUUUUGCUAAAUUUUAUUUUGCUUUUUUA